CUUAGCUCAGUUGGAUAGAGCAACGGCCUUCUAAGCCGUGGGUCACAGGUUCGAAUCCUGUAG
This 63-nucleotide transfer RNA is filed under the name Phytobacter massiliensis. It matches the Rfam family "tRNA", at positions 6 to 65 of the family's 71-position model. Rfam says of the family: Transfer RNA (tRNA) molecules are approximately 80 nucleotides in length. Their secondary structure includes four short double-helical elements and three loops (D, anti-codon, and T loops). Lineage: Bacteria; Pseudomonadati; Pseudomonadota; Gammaproteobacteria; Enterobacterales; Enterobacteriaceae. The record is from RNAcentral.